RNAcentral lists this ribosomal RNA (451 nucleotides) under uncultured bacterium. RNAcentral's name for it is "bacterial SSU rRNA". It matches the Rfam family "Bacterial small subunit ribosomal RNA", at positions 345 to 793 of the family's 1533-position model. The record is from RNAcentral.
AGUGCAGCAGGCGAGGAAUAUUGGGCAAUGGAGGCAACUCUGACCCAGCCAUGCCGCGUGCAGGAAGAAGGCGUUAUGCGUUGUAAACUGCUUUUAUAUAGGAAGAAAGAGUUCUUGCGAGAACAGUUGACGGUACUAUAUGAAUAAGCACCGGCUAACUCCGUGCCAGCAGCCGCGGUAAUACGGAGGGUGCAAGCGUUGUCCGGAUUUAUUGGGUUUAAAGGGUGCGUAGGCGGUUUAUUAAGUCAGUGGUGAAAGACGGUCGCUCAACGAUUGCAGUGCCAUUGAUACUGGUAGACUUGAGUGAGUUUGAAGUAGCUGGAAUGGAUAGUGUAGCGGUGAAAUGCAUAGAUAUUAUCCAGAACACCAAUUGCGUAGGCAAGUUACUAAGACUCAACUGACGCUGAGGCACGAAAGUGUGGGUAUCAAACAGGAUUAGAUACCCCAGUAU